RNA transcript from Fragaria vesca subsp. vesca, 673 nucleotides. RefSeq lists it as uncharacterized. The record is from RefSeq and is a predicted model, not a curated record. Lineage: Eukaryota; Viridiplantae; Streptophyta; Magnoliopsida; Rosales; Rosaceae. The transcript has 3 exons.
UUUGGUUCAUCAAUUCUGAAUUGAGAGUAAGUUACAAGAUGAGAAUCCCUAGUGAACUUGUUCCUGUCAGCCAAUUUCGACGGCUAAAAACUGCCACUUCUGCUCUUCAGAUGACAACGACUUCUUCAUGAAAGUUUCUGGAAAUCGGGUCUACUAUGCUGUGCUAAAAUUUGACGAUGAUCCAACGGUUAGAUUGUCCUCAAUUAAGAUAUGGGUCAUGUUUCCUCAUCGGCGUUGAGUUAAUAUCAUGAAGUUUUCAUCUCCUUGAGUUUACACUAUUGAUUCGGCAAUUGGUGACAUGUAGAAGAGUCAUGGAGAAAGAAUCAGGAGAAUUGAGUUAUGCCUGAAUCAUUCCCGGAAGGUCAGACUGCCAGAACAGAGUAACCUACUGCCUGCCGAGAGAAGUGUUCCUGAUAGACCUAGGGAAGCAAAGCAGCUGAUCCACGAAGCCUAGUCUAUGAAAAGAGAGGUCCAAACCAAGUCCAAUAUGGAGAAGAAGAUCUAAAUUCGGCAGAAUAUCAAGGAAUAUCCAAGUCUUGAAAAUCCUGAUUAAUUUCGGGAAAAUUCCUGUGCACGUCUCUCAACUUCAACGGACUCUCCAGGACAGCUCACAAUGAAUCAGAAAACGUGCUAGAUAUGGAUAGAGAGCUACGGGAAUCUAGUUUCCAAAUCA